GACGAACGCUGGCGGCGUGCUUAACACAUGCAAGUCGAGCGGAAAGGCCACUUCGGUGGUACUCGAGCGGCGAACGGGUGAGUAACACGUGAGUAAUCUGCCCCUCACUUUGGGAUAGCCACCGGAAACGGUGAUUAAUACCGGAUAUGACCAUAUGUCGCAUGGCGUGUGGUGGAAAGUUUUUCGGUGAGGGAUGUGCUCGCGGCCUAUCAGCUUGAUGGUGAGGUAAUGGCUCACCAUGGCUUCGACGGGUAGCCGGCCUGAGAGGGUGACCGGUCACACGGGGACUGAGACACGGCCCAGACUCCUACGGGAGGCAGCAGUGGGGAAUAUUGGACAAUGGGCGGAAGCCUGAUCCAGCAACGCCGCGUGAGGGAUGACGGCCUUCGGGUUGUAAACCUCUUUCAGUACCGACGAAGCGCAAGUGACGGUAGGUACAGAAGAAGCACCGGCCAACUACGUG
This 463-nucleotide ribosomal RNA is filed under the name uncultured bacterium. Its description in RNAcentral is "partial 16S ribosomal RNA". It matches the Rfam family "Bacterial small subunit ribosomal RNA", at positions 28 to 507 of the family's 1533-position model. The record is from RNAcentral.